UGUCUACGACCAUACCACAGGGAAAACACCG
RNAcentral lists this ribosomal RNA (31 nucleotides) under Acropora pruinosa. Lineage: Eukaryota; Metazoa; Cnidaria; Anthozoa; Scleractinia; Acroporidae. The record is from RNAcentral.